This 536-nucleotide ribosomal RNA is filed under the name uncultured bacterium. RNAcentral's name for it is "bacterial SSU rRNA". It matches the Rfam family "Bacterial small subunit ribosomal RNA", at positions 57 to 586 of the family's 1533-position model. The record is from RNAcentral.
GCAAGUCGAGCGGUAACAGGUGUAGCAAUACAUGCUGACGAGCGGCGAACGGGUGAGUAAUGCUUCGGAAUCUACCCUCUGGUGGGGAAUAACCAGCCGAAAGGUUGGCUAAUACCGCAUACGUCCUACGGGAGAAAGCAGGGGAUCGCAAGACCUUGCGCCGAUGGAUGAGCCGAAGUCGGAUUAGCUAGUUGGUGAGGUAACGGCUCACCAAGGCGACGAUCCGUAGCUGGUCUGAGAGGACGACCAGCCACACUGGGACUGAGACACGGCCCAGACUCCUACGGGAGGCAGCAGUGGGGAAUAUUGGACAAUGGGGGCAACCCUGAUCCAGCGACGCCGCGUGUGUGAAGAAGGCCUGCGGGUUGUAAAGCACUUUUAGUGGGGAUGAAAAGUGCAGAGCUAAUAUCUCUGCAUCUUGACCUAACCCACAGAAAAAGCACCGGCUAACUCUGUGCCAGCAGCCGCGGUAAUACAGAGGGUGCAAGCGUUAAUCGGAAUUACUGGGCGUAAAGCGUGCGCACACGGUCAUGUAA